CUUUUUAAUGAAUGUUUCUAAAGUAGUAAAUCAGAAACUUAAAAUUUUGACGGUAUUUAAUUUUCCAAAGGAAUAUAUAAAUUAAUCGUCAAUACACGCUAAAUCUUACUUAUUUUCUUUUUGUAUAUCUCCGUUGUCAGAUUUUAUUUUAAAUAAUUAAAAUUUUCUAAAUAAAAUGUUUUAAUACAUCAGGUCAAGGUGCAAAAUAAAUAAGUUUUUAUGUAUUACAAUCAAGAAUAUUGUAUUGAAUAAAUACUCUGUAAAUUAUUUUGAAAAUGAAUUUGUAAGUAAAAUA
RNAcentral lists this ribosomal RNA (295 nucleotides) under Tasmanipatus barretti. Its description in RNAcentral is "partial 12S ribosomal RNA". Lineage: Eukaryota; Metazoa; Onychophora; Udeonychophora; Euonychophora; Peripatopsidae. The record is from RNAcentral.